UACAGAGGGUGCAAGCGUUGUUCGGAAUUAUUGGGCGUAAAGCGCGUGUAGGCGGCUUGGCAAGUCGGGUGUGAAAUCCCUCAGCUUAACUGAGGAAGUGCGCCCGAAACUGCCGAGCUUGAGUACCGGAGAGGGUGGCGGAAUUCCCCAAGUAGAGGUGAAAUUCGUAGAUAUCGGGAGGAACACCAGCGGCGAAGGCGGCGAUCUGGGUGGAAACUGACGCUGAGGCGCGAAAGUGUGGGGAGCAAACAGG
This 253-nucleotide ribosomal RNA is filed under the name uncultured prokaryote. RNAcentral's name for it is "partial 16S ribosomal RNA". It matches the Rfam family "Bacterial small subunit ribosomal RNA", at positions 524 to 776 of the family's 1533-position model. The record is from RNAcentral.